Molecule: long non-coding RNA, 398 nt
Organism: Mus musculus (house mouse)
Lineage: Eukaryota; Metazoa; Chordata; Mammalia; Rodentia; Muridae
Product: predicted gene, 46941
Exons: 2
Source: RefSeq, a predicted model, not a curated record
CUCCAGGCACCCACGCCCGUACUCGUGGCACAGCAAAGCUGCCCUGCACCCCCACCCUACCCCCCGCUGCCAGGAACAGCUGUGCAAGCUGGCCACUGCACAGAGUGUCGCUUCCACAUGCAGACACCACAGCCCUCCACCAGUGGUUUCAAGCAGGCAACCAGAAGGAACGCAGAAGAAGAAGAAAAAAAUCUCAGCUGGUUUGUGCUUUUCUCCAACACUCGCUAAUGACACACUGAGUCAUGUCAGGAGCAAGCAGGCUGGUGUCAGGGGAGCUGACCUGCUGCUGAGGCUUAACACUCAGUAUUUGAUCUCUUCAUGGGGCUACUUUCUGUCUACGAUGCACCAGACUGAGUUUCUUCUUUGCCAGAAUACUAUAAUAAAGGUUUAUUUACCAA